UUAAGCGACUAAGCGUACACGGUGGAUGCCCUGGCAGUCAGAGGCGAUGAAGGACGUGCUAAUCUGCGAUAAGCGUCGGUAAGGUGAUAUGAACCGUUAUAACCGGCGAUUUCCGAAUGGGGAAACCCAGUGUGUUUCGACACACUAUCAUUAACUGAAUCCAUAGGUUAAUGAGGCGAACCGGGGGAACUGAAACAUCUAAGUACCCCGAGGAAAAGAAAUCAACCGAGAUUCCCCCAGUAGCGGCGAGCGAACGGGGAGCAGCCCAGAGCCUGAAUCAGUGUGUGUGUUAGUGGAAGCGUCUGGAAAGGCGCGCGAUACAGGGUGACAGCCCCGUACACAAAAAUGCACAUGCUGUGAGCUCGAUGAGUAGGGCGGGACACGUGGUAUCCUGUCUGAAUAUGGGGGGACCAUCCUCCAAGGCUAAAUACUCCUGACUGACCGAUAGUGAACCAGUACCGUGAGGGAAAGGCGAAAAGAACCCCGGCGAGGGGAGUGAAAAAGAACCUGAAACCGUGUACGUACAAGCAGUGGGAGCACGCUUAGGCGUGUGACUGCGUACCUUUUGUAUAAUGGGUCAGCGACUUAUAUUCUGUAGCAAGGUUAACCGAAUAGGGGAGCCCAAGGGAAACCGAGUCUUAACUGGGCGUUAAGUUGCAGGGUAUAGACCCGAAACCCGGUGAUCUAGCCAUGGGCAGGUUGAAGGUUGGGUAACACUAACUGGAGGACCGAACCGACUAAUGUUGAAAAAUUAGCGGAUGACUUGUGGCUGGGGGUGAAAGGCCAAUCAAACCGGGAGAUAGCUGGUUCUCCCCGAAAGCUAUUUAGGUAGCGCCUCGUGAACUCAUCUCCGGGGGUAGAGCACUGUUUCGGCAAGGGGGUCAUCCCGACUUACCAACCCGAUGCAAACUGCGAAUACCGGAGAAUGUUAUCACGGGAGACACACGGCGGGUGCUAACGUCCGUCGUGAAGAGGGAAACAACCCAGACCGCCAGCUAAGGUCCCAAAGUCAUGGUUAAGUGGGAAACGAUGUGGGAAGGCCCAGACAGCCAGGAUGUUGGCUUAGAAGCAGCCAUCAUUUAAAGAAAGCGUAAUAGCUCACUGGUCGAGUCGGCCUGCGCGGAAGAUGUAACGGGGCUAAACCAUGCACCGAAGCUGCGGCAGCGACGCUUAUGCGUUGUUGGGUAGGGGAGCGUUCUGUAAGCCUGUGAAGGUGUGCUGUGAGGCAUGCUGGAGGUAUCAGAAGUGCGAAUGCUGACAUAAGUAACGAUAAAGCGGGUGAAAAGCCCGCUCGCCGGAAGACCAAGGGUUCCUGUCCAACGUUAAUCGGGGCAGGGUGAGUCGACCCCUAAGGCGAGGCCGAAAGGCGUAGUCGAUGGGAAACAGGUUAAUAUUCCUGUACUUGGUGUUACUGCGAAGGGGGGACGGAGAAGGCUAUGUUGGCCGGGCGACGGUUGUCCCGGUUUAAGCGUGUAGGCUGGUUUUCCAGGCAAAUCCGGAAAAUCAAGGCUGAGGCGUGAUGACGAGGCACUACGGUGCUGAAGCAACAAAUGCCCUGCUUCCAGGAAAAGCCUCUAAGCAUCAGGUAACAUCAAAUCGUACCCCAAACCGACACAGGUGGUCAGGUAGAGAAUACCAAGGCGCUUGAGAGAACUCGGGUGAAGGAACUAGGCAAAAUGGUGCCGUAACUUCGGGAGAAGGCACGCUGAUAUGUAGGUGAAGCGACUUGCUCGUGGAGCUGAAAUCAGUCGAAGAUACCAGCUGGCUGCAACUGUUUAUUAAAAACACAGCACUGUGCAAACACGAAAGUGGACGUAUACGGUGUGACGCCUGCCCGGUGCCGGAAGGUUAAUUGAUGGGGUUAGCGGUAACGCGAAGCUCUUGAUCGAAGCCCCGGUAAACGGCGGCCGUAACUAUAACGGUCCUAAGGUAGCGAAAUUCCUUGUCGGGUAAGUUCCGACCUGCACGAAUGGCGUAAUGAUGGCCAGGCUGUCUCCACCCGAGACUCAGUGAAAUUGAACUCGCUGUGAAGAUGCAGUGUACCCGCGGCAAGACGGAAAGACCCCGUGAACCUUUACUAUAGCUUGACACUGAACAUUGAGCCUUGAUGUGUAGGAUAGGUGGGAGGCUUUGAAGUGUGGACGCCAGUCUGCAUGGAGCCGACCUUGAAAUACCACCCUUUAAUGUUUGAUGUUCUAACGUUGACCCGUAAUCCGGGUUGCGGACAGUGUCUGGUGGGUAGUUUGACUGGGGCGGUCUCCUCCUAAAGAGUAACGGAGGAGCACGAAGGUUGGCUAAUCCUGGUCGGACAUCAGGAGGUUAGUGCAAUGGCAUAAGCCAGCUUGACUGCGAGCGUGACGGCGCGAGCAGGUGCGAAAGCAGGUCAUAGUGAUCCGGUGGUUCUGAAUGGAAGGGCCAUCGCUCAACGGAUAAAAGGUACUCCGGGGAUAACAGGCUGAUACCGCCCAAGAGUUCAUAUCGACGGCGGUGUUUGGCACCUCGAUGUCGGCUCAUCACAUCCUGGGGCUGAAGUAGGUCCCAAGGGUAUGGCUGUUCGCCAUUUAAAGUGGUACGCGAGCUGGGUUUAGAACGUCGUGAGACAGUUCGGUCCCUAUCUGCCGUGGGCGCUGGAGAACUGAGGGGGGCUGCUCCUAGUACGAGAGGACCGGAGUGGACGCAUCACUGGUGUUCGGGUUGUCAUGCCAAUGGCACUGCCCGGUAGCUAAAUGCGGAAGAGAUAAGUGCUGAAAGCAUCUAAGCACGAAACUUGCCCCGAGAUGAGUUCUCCCUGACUCC
This 2796-nucleotide ribosomal RNA is filed under the name Escherichia coli HVH 221 (4-3136817). Its description in RNAcentral is "bacterial LSU rRNA". It matches the Rfam family "Bacterial large subunit ribosomal RNA". Lineage: Bacteria; Pseudomonadati; Pseudomonadota; Gammaproteobacteria; Enterobacterales; Enterobacteriaceae. The record is from RNAcentral.